UACAGAGGUGGCAAACGUUGUCCGGAUUUAUUGGGUGUAAAGGGCAUGUAGGUGGUCCUAUAAGUCAAAGGUGAAAUGGCCCGGCUCAACCAGGUCAUUGCCUUUGAAACUGCAGGACUUGAGUACGGAAGAGGAAAGCGGAAUUCCCAGUGUAGCGGUGAAAUGCGUAGAUAUUGGGAGGAACACCGGUGGCGAAGGCGGCUUUCUGGACAGUAACUGACGCUGAGGCGCGAAAGCUAGGGGAGCAAACAGG
Molecule: ribosomal RNA, 253 nt
Filed under: uncultured prokaryote
Description: partial 16S ribosomal RNA
Rfam family: Bacterial small subunit ribosomal RNA
Source: RNAcentral